UACGUAGGAGGCGAGCGUUGUCCGGAUUUACUGGGCGUAAAGGGCGCGUAGGCGGCCCGCACAAGUCUGCGGUGAAAACCCCCGGCUUAACCGGGGGCCGGCCGUGGAAACUGUCGGGCUGGAGGCUGGGAGAGGGCAGCGGAAUUCCCGGUGUAGCGGUGAAAUGCGUAGAGAUCGGGAGGAACACCGGCGGCGAAGGCGGCUGCCUGGACCAGUCCUGACGCUGAGGCGCGAAAGCUAGGGGAGCAAACAGG
Molecule: ribosomal RNA, 254 nt
Filed under: uncultured bacterium
Lineage: Bacteria
Description: partial 16S ribosomal RNA
Rfam family: Bacterial small subunit ribosomal RNA
Source: RNAcentral